Non-coding RNA from Pyrenochaeta sp. DS3sAY3a, 98 nucleotides. Lineage: Eukaryota; Fungi; Ascomycota; Dothideomycetes; Pleosporales; Cucurbitariaceae. The record is from the annotation of a GenBank genome assembly.
GGCUCGGUGGUGUAGUUGGUUAUCACGUCAGUCUAACAUUAAGCAAUUAUAUGUUAUACUCACACUGAAGGUCCCGAGUUCAAGCCUCGGCUGAGUCA